Molecule: ribosomal RNA, 1396 nt
Filed under: uncultured bacterium
Lineage: Bacteria
Description: bacterial SSU rRNA
Rfam family: Bacterial small subunit ribosomal RNA
Source: RNAcentral
AGAGUUUGAUCCUGGCUCAGGAUGAACGCUAGCUACAGGCUUAACACAUGCAAGUCGAGGGGCAGCAUCAUCAAAGCUUGCUUUGAUGGAUGGCGACCGGCGCACGGGUGAGUAACACGUAUCCAACCUGCCGACAACACUGGGAUAGCCUUUCGAAAGAAAGAUUAAUACCGGAUGGCAUAGUUUUCCCGCAUGGGAUAAUUAUUAAAGAAUUUCGGUUGUCGAUGGGGAUGCGUUCCAUUAGGCAGUUGGCGGGGUAACGGCCCACCAAACCUACGAUGGAUAGGGGUUCUGAGAGGAAGGUCCCCCACAUUGGAACUGAGACACGGUCCAAACUCCUACGGGAGGCAGCAGUGAGGAAUAUUGGUCAAUGGACGAGAGUCUGAACCAGCCAAGUAGCGUGAAGGAUGACUGCCCUAUGGGUUGUAAACUUCUUUUAUACGGGAAUAAAGUGAGCCACGUGUGGCUUUUUGUAUGUACCGUAUGAAUAAGGAUCGGCUAACUCCGUGCCAGCAGCCGCGGUAAUACGGAGGAUCCGAGCGUUAUCCGGAUUUAUUGGGUUUAAAGGGAGCGUAGGCGGGUUGUUAAGUCAGUUGUGAAAGUUUGCGGCUCAACCGUAAAAUUGCAGUUGAUACUGGCGACCUUGAGUGCAACAGAGGUAGGCGGAAUUCGUGGUGUAGCGGUGAAAUGCUUAGAUAUCACGAAGAACUCCGAUUGCGAAGGCAGCUUACUGGAUUGUAACUGACGCUGAUGCUCGAAAGUGUGGGUAUCAAACAGGAUUAGAUACCCUGGUAGUCCACACAGUAAACGAUGAAUACUCGCUGUUGGCGAUAUACAGUCAGCGGCCAAGCGAAAGCAUUAAGUAUUCCACCUGGGGAGUACGCCGGCAACGGUGAAACUCAAAGGAAUUGACGGGGGCCCGCACAAGCGGAGGAACAUGUGGUUUAAUUCGAUGAUACGCGAGGAACCUUACCCGGGCUUAAAUUGCAACUGACGGAACCGGAAACGGUUCUUUCUUCGGACAGUUGUGAAGGUGCUGCAUGGUUGUCGUCAGCUCGUGCCGUGAGGUGUCGGCUUAAGUGCCAUAACGAGCGCAACCCUUAUCGAUAGUUACUAGCAGGUCAUGCUGAGGACUCUAUCGAGACUGCCGUCGUAAGAUGUGAGGAAGGUGGGGAUGACGUCAAAUCAGCACGGCCCUUACGUCCGGGGCUACACACGUGUUACAAUGGGGGGUACAGAAGGCAGCUACACGGCGACGUGGUGCUAAUCCCAAAAGCCUCUCUCAGUUCGGAUUGGAGUCUGCAACCCGACUCCAUGAAGCUGGAAUCGCUAGUAAUCGCAGGUCAGCAUACUGCGGUGAAUACGUUCCCGGGUCUUGCACACACCGCCCGUCAAG